GACAUUGGGUUCAAAUGCAGCCGUUGGGCUGAAAGGGCGUUUCUGAAAGAGCUGUUAGCGGCAAGUGGUGCUGUGAAAAUACCUGUCGUAGUCGCGCUUGCACGACAGGUACUCCCCAGGCUCAAAGCGACAUGAAUCCCAUGUGAAUAAAGAGGAAUUGCGUGCAGAGAAAAUGAAAUAACAACCCGAGGUUGUCCGUGGUGGAGGGCAGGAGCGGUGGCCCGAACAGGGCAAUUGCUAAAGAGGUGAUUCUCCUCUGUUAAGAAACGCACACAUUUCCACACGAUUUACCCCUCGUUCUGGGCAGCACAAUGCUCCUGGAGUGUCUUUCUCAACCAAAUACUUCGAUUUCCCGCAUCGGAUUUGGCUAACGUGAAGAGGAAGUCAGGCUUCGCGCCUCCCUCGUUAAAAGGGAGUAAAUAAUAAGAGACUACAGGGACCAACAAAUAAAAUUAGCCUUAGAUUCGAAACUUCCAAAUGGGGACAAACAAUUGGCUAAGCAGGCAGAGGGGCAAAUCUUGACAGAUUUGGCACAGUAAAAAUAAAACUUGCUCACACGCUUAACCUUAAUAUUGCAUAAAUACAGGUUAUGCCUGAGCUUUGUAAUGUACAUCCAUAAAAAGCAAAAGAAGAAACAGAAGGUGAUGCAGAAUGGCAUUCAUUAAGGACUCAAUGUUUUCCAAGAGUCAUUAACUUCAGGAGGUCAGAGUCCAAGCUGGAUUUUCUUCUGGGGCUCAAAACCCAGAGAAGAGAAGCGGGCAAGGAUCCGUUCUUGCAUGCUGUUGCUGAAGAAAUUGCGAGUCGUGUCAGAGGCAGUCACUAGAUGUUUUUUCAUUGUGAGGGAAGAGCCAAAAAGGAAAGGCUGAAGGAGGGAGACAGCAGGGUUUCUCUCCAGGGGCUGAAUCAGAAAGUGCCUGACUGGUGUCUUACUCAUGAGCAGCUUGCUGGAAAUACUUGAAAUUUGAGAUAAUUGGACACAAAGAUGAUACGUAGCUUAGUCCUGCAAGAAGCUGAGCACUCUGGAGUCAUAAAAAGACAUAAGUGUGAAACUGAGUUGUUCAGCUGCAGUCAGCGAGACUGGGCUCACACUGGUGCUUAGUAACACGCUUAUAUC
This is a long non-coding RNA of Strigops habroptila (Kakapo), 1114 nucleotides long. RefSeq lists it as uncharacterized. The record is from RefSeq and is a predicted model, not a curated record. The transcript has 2 exons. Lineage: Eukaryota; Metazoa; Chordata; Aves; Psittaciformes; Psittacidae.